RNAcentral lists this ribosomal RNA (466 nucleotides) under uncultured bacterium. RNAcentral's name for it is "bacterial SSU rRNA". It matches the Rfam family "Bacterial small subunit ribosomal RNA", at positions 328 to 792 of the family's 1533-position model. The record is from RNAcentral.
UUGCCAGACUCCUACGGGAGGCAGCAGUGAGGAAUAUUGGUCAAUGGGCGAGAGCCUGAACCAGCCAAGUCGCGUGAGGGAAGACGGUCCUAUGGAUUGUAAACCUCUUUUGCCGGGGAGCAAAAAGCGGUACGUGUACCGCAUCGAGAGUACCCGGAGAAAAAGCAUCGGCUAACUCCGUGCCAGCAGCCGCGGUAAUACGGAGGAUGCGAGCGUUAUCCGGAUUUAUUGGGUUUAAAGGGCGCGUAGGCGGACGCUUAAGUCAGCGGUAAAAUGGCGGGGCUCAACCUCGUCGAGCCGUUGAAACUGGGUGCCUUGAGUGGGCGAGAAGUACGCGGAAUGCGUGGUGUAGCGAUGAAAUGCAUAGAUAUCACGCAGAACUCCGAUUGCGAAGGCAGCGUACCGGCGCCCAACUGACGCUGAAGCACGAAGGCGUGGGUAUCGAACAGGAUUAGAUACCCCAGUA